UGCUGGGGGAGUGCGUGAGCACCUUGCUGCUCAUGGGGGCCUCCUACAGGACCGAGGUGGGAGUGCUGGCGACGCUCGCCGGGAGCUCCUCGCACCACGGACCGACACGUGUCCCCCCCAGGACCUGAGAAGUGGGCGCACGUGUCUGCACACGGUGGCCGAGGAGACCGACGUGGAGCUGCUGCGCCUCUUCCUGGAACGGCCUGACUCGCUGUCCGCCGUCAACGACAAGGCGCACGACGGCAACAGCGCGCUGCAGGGCAGGGUUGCCCCCCGCUGGAGGAGGUCAAGCUGCUCCUUAGGAAGGGGGCAGACCCGGGUGCGAGGAACCUGGACAACGAGCAGCUGGCCCACCUGGUGCCCAAGGGACCGGCGAAGACCAGGUGCGGCAAAUUCUGAAGGGGGGGGCAGCGUGGCGAGGAGCAGCCCCCGUAGAGACCUGCUGUCAGUCAGACAGGCCUGUGUGUUGUUCAGAACUAUUUGUCAGCAUGAGACAAAUGUUUCCAUGACACACUCAUAGUGUGUUUGCUGCCGCGCGGCACAACCUGCAGGAGGAAGUGGACCAUGGAUCGGUGGGUUCAAGGAUCGGUCAACCCAGGUAACAGGAAGCAGCCAGGAAAGCAACCCUUCGGCACGUGACCGGGUGACACACGGCUGGGCUUGUGCCGUUGCUUGGAGGUGUGUGUGUGUGUGUGUGUGUGUGUGUGUUGGGCGGUCUCCUCUGCGACGCCUAGUUUCGCUGAGGACAAAUACGUGGGAAAUAUCCUAAAAAUAAGUGCAGGAAGUUCCAGCGCUCGGCAUCCCUCUUCUCCUUCUGUCUCACCUUCUUCCUCUUUUCAUUCGUCCCUUCCGCAGUCGUCCCCUCCUCACAAAUCUUUUCUUCAUUCAUCCCCUCCUCACUCGUCCCAUCUUCGCUCGUCCCAGCCCUAAUUUGACCACCGUCGACUGUAGUGCAGCCCCGUGGCGAGUUGCAAGCAUAGAACGAGCUGUUUCCCGCUUACAUCGCAC
RNAcentral lists this long non-coding RNA (1008 nucleotides) under Scleropages formosus (Asian bonytongue). RNAcentral's name for it is "lncRNA (ENSSFOG00015028263.1)". The record is from RNAcentral. Lineage: Eukaryota; Metazoa; Chordata; Actinopteri; Osteoglossiformes; Osteoglossidae.